AUCCAGCUGACGGGUCCUAAAUAGGAAAAAACGCGCGUCCUGGAU
This is a non-coding RNA of Schistosoma curassoni, 45 nucleotides long. Lineage: Eukaryota; Metazoa; Platyhelminthes; Trematoda; Strigeidida; Schistosomatidae. The record is from Rfam.